UGUAUAUAAAAUACAAAUUUAAGAGUACGGCAACACGGAUACCUGGAUAUAUCAGGUGCCUAGAAAGCGGUUGCAUCUCCUGUCGACCGGUCACACCCGCUAUGAGCCCUAUAUCUUGAUCAGGUUAACGGAGCAAUCCGUAGUCAAAAUCAGUAUAUAUAAAGAACGGCCUAACAAUUGGUAUGAAACACGUCCGACAGCAUUUGACUCAUUGACAAGUUGUAUUGACAAAUUAGAUCAUUAUAACGACCAUAGAAUUUGGGAAAUGCUAAAAUUAAACGACUUUUGAAACCCAUGUAACAUCCAUUUAUCAUACGCAGAACAAGAUUUUGCUUAUCGAACCAGCUAUUAAAAGGCAUAAACACCACGUACAAGUGAUAAUGGAAUACUGCUAGAUAAACAUAGGGAGUUGGCGGUGGAAGCUGAAGUCGGGAUUAAGUCUGCCAUGAAGUUAAACUGCUAGUUUACUGUUAACAUCCAUAUUCAAUAAAAAAAAAAAUCUAAGCAUGAAGCAGAUUUAGAAGAUUCUUCAGUGUCCUUUAUUUCGAGUUUAGCGGGGCACACCGAACCGACAAUAAGUGUCAGUAUAUAAAAACAUCUGUUGUCUUUAUAGUAUUUAUGAGAUCGCUCACUGUUUGUUAUCUUCAGCUUUUCACUGUACAUAGUUUUGAUAGUUAUAUUAAGUAGUAGCGGUCGAAUUUGACGCUUGUGUCAAUACGUUUUCUUGUAUUAAUACAUGUUCAUGUAUUGCAACACUCAAUCUACAGAGCAUAGGGUUAUCUCAGUAUCCCGUAUUACGCCGCAAACUAUUAAGCGAUAAAGUAUACAAGUAGAGAUAGAAAAUAUCCGGAAAGUGAAAUAAUGGAUUUACAAUUGAGCACUUGGUCUCAUAUUAAUUUAUCAACAGUGGCUAUUCCUAGAAGUUUGGUGUAUUCCGACACAUGUAUACAAUAAUCGAGGCAAGGUGGAGGAAAAGCACACAGUAUUUCAGAAAUAAAGUGGUAAUCAUUUCUCCAUCGUUUGUCUAAUUUUCCGCACAGUGUCUUUGACUUUCUCAAUGGUAAAAAUACGAUCACAAUAAAUCUUUUUUCUCUAAGGCAGCGAACGAUCAUAUGUUAAGAAUCAGGGAUAUUGAAAUUCCCUUAACUCUCCUAAUGUCAGUAACACAAAAAGAAAAGAACUCGCAUGGGGCUGACAUUAAAUGAUAUAUUCCUGGAUAUUUCCUUCACCGUCAAGAACAAAGAGACAAAAACUUAUUCUAACUAUGUAAAGCACUAAAAUGACCAAGAAUACGAACAAUCAAAAGUAGCAAAUUCUCGGGACGAUCCGUCUUCUCGUCAUGAUUAUGAAAAAGAAGUUAAAUACGUGUGGAAAACAAAACAAUGCAAAAUAUAGUACUACUUCUACAAUAAACUGCAUGAAUUUGUUGUUUGCUGUUUUAUGUUUCAUCGAGAAUAUUUCAUUCCGUGACGUCACCAGCUGUAGAUGAUGUACCACAAACUUUGAUCUAUGCUUGGCGCGUACGACCGUAGCUUCUGAUCGUUCCAAUGUCUACCGUUACACUGGACCUCCCACCUAUAUGUCGUAUCCGAGAGACUCGUGGUUUGCACUUGUAAUGCCGGCUGCAUUGCGAAGCAAGAGUCACAACCUCUGUUGAAUGUCUUAGGUUUACGGCGGCGCUGGGAUCGAGAAUUGAACCCAGGAACUCCCAGUGGCAAAGCGAAUAAUAGGAAAUCAAUAUAAAUGUACUGAAAUUUGAUUUGAUAUGCAAAUCACAAAAAGGUAUUAAGUUAAAGAAACAUUAUAUUGAUUGAUUGUAUAUUGUUUAACGUCCCUAUUGAAAAUUGUCUAUAGUCAUCGCUUCCAGCAGGGAGGGUUCUUUAACGUGCCACACCUGCAAAAUGAAAUUUCAAUGGAGUUUUUUGUGUUUAGAUUUUGAAUUGUGGAGGCUUACUGGAGUGGCAUUGUUGAUUAUCUUUAGAUUCAUAAGCUUUAAGUUAUCAUAGAAAAUUAGCUUGAACUUAAAAAUACAUGUAUUCAGUUGCAAAAUAAUGUCUAACAGAUUGUAAGAAACUGUUAUUUCAAUAAUUAAUUGAUAAUUAUUUUUUUAUAUUUCACAAGUUCAGUACCGUGCUGAAAUAAAUGCGAAUACUGCAUUACUGCACUUUCUCAUAUUAAAAGGAAAUCUUAUGGUAUCAGCAACCUCUAAUACCGAGCAAGAAGAUUCCACCAUGAAUCUUCAACAACUUCCAGAACAGGAUAAUACGAUUAAUGAACAAUGAAUUCAUAUGAAGGAAACGAUGAAACCGUUGAAAAGAUAUUAGGAAUGAGAAGGGGAAAAAAAGAAAUCUACCAAUUGUCUCACUGCUGAAACAUACAACGCAAUUGAUGGAAGAAGUAUAAAAGAACAAGCUCAGCGAAAACUAGAACAAUGGAAUAAAAGAUAGCAAACUAAAAGAAAGAGAUAGAGUCGAUAAAAGGAAAUUUAACAUAGAGACGACUUACAGUACAUGGAAGAAGACGCAGAGAAAACCGUAUUAACAAGGUGCACAAAGUGACAAAAGAGCUUGGGGGUACAAAAAGAAACAUCUCCAGUGAGAUAACAGAAGUAAUAAAAUCUGUGUGGAAAAUGGAGAAGACGUGAUUAGACUGAUGUUACAAUACUAAAUAAGGGAACUUAACCAUUCCUGACAACUAUAGAGGCAUAUCCCUGAUAUAUGUGCUAUCCAAAAUAUUUUGCAGAAUAAUGGCAAAAUAAGAAACGAAAUCAAUAACAAAUUAAGAACAGAACAAUCAGGUUUUAGAAGAGGAAGAGAAACAUCUGAACAAAGGUACACCUUGCGAGACAUAUCAGAGCCAAAGCGGUUAAGCCCGUUAUGACCCGAAACUCCUCGUAACCAUAGAACACUACACAUAAUGAGGAGCUGCGCUGACAAGAACAGAACAGACGUAAUGAGUAAUACAAACAUUAGAAAAAGAGGAAUCUUCUGAACUUUUAUGUCAACCCUACAACACUUAUGCUUUGCCGAUGACCUGAUACUAAUGUCCAUCAAGAUCUGCGACUUUUAAGACGAAUCUUCACCACUGCAUUGAGAUUGAUUGAUUGUUUUACGUCUCGACGAGAAUUUGUCAUUCAUAUCGAGACGUCACCAACUGUAGGUGAAGUACCCCAAAUUUCGACCUAUUACUAGCGCUUAGGGCCGUAGCAGUGCGGGUUCUUUAUCGUGCUAACGCCUGCCGCGACACGGGACCUCCGUUUUUAAGGUCAUUUCAGAAAGACUCGUGAUUUUCGAGCUUUUAGUGAAAGAGCCAUCACUACGGCGGCCAUGGCACGAGCGGGACUCGAACUCGCGAUUGGCCUUUUUAGAAUCUUUUGAAUGACGAACUACAUGUAUAUCUAAUGUGUGCAAGAUUGAUUGAUUGUAUCUUCUUUAACGUCCCUCUCGAGAAUUUUUCACUCAUAUUGAGACGUCACCAAGACCGAUGAAGGGUUUCAAAUUUAGGUUUAUGCUCAGCGCUUACGGCCAUUGAGCAAUGAGGGUUCUUAAGCGUGCCACACCUACUGUGACACGGGACAUCUGCUAUUAAGGUCAUCUCCAAGACCCGUGACAUUCACACCUAAUGCCGAGCGUUUAGCGAUGGAACUGUCACUACCUAUAUUAACGACUUAGGUCUGUCGCGGCCGGGAUUCGAAUCUCGACCUUCCGCAUGCAGGACAAACGCUCCACCUCUAGACCACCGCGGCGGUAAUGUGUGUAAGAGAUUGGACCCAAUCACGUAUGAUAGCUACGUAAGGACGAUGAUUAGAUUGGAUGUAGCAGCCAAUUUCGAAAUUUAAUUUUUUGCGCCAAAAUGUACACGUUAUCAGCGUGUUUCGUCAUAGUUUUAAGGGCACAUAUAUUUUUUGUGUACAAGCACAAGCUCGCUGGGAAGAAUGUGGUUAUGUUCCCGUAUCGGUGGACAUUUGUACUGAACUGCUGUUAUAUACCUAGAGAAACUACUUAUUCGGUAAGACAAUGAACAUUUGCACAUUCCAUACAUUUGUUUGAAAACGUGUAUUUACAGUAUAUUCUAUGAGUAAACACGUGUACUUAGUUCAUGUCCCGAAUAUUUAUGCAAACUAUUUUCACAGAAAAGACAAUGUAUAGAUAUUAUUUGCACAUCAGGUGCAAAUUGGUUGCACUCAAACUUUUGGCAACUUCAGGGGGCAAUAACUCUGUUUUGUUGUGCACUACAGAUGCUCUAAAUUAUUUUCAUAAACAGCAAUUUUCUGUAUUGAAAUCAAUCUUUUGAUAGUUCGAAUUAUUAUUAUAUAUGAUCACAUAUGUGUUGGCAGUAUCAAUUCAUUGUUUACAAUUAUUUUGUUUUAUUACAGUAUGAAAGGUGAAGAUAACGAACAGUGAUCAAUCUCAUAACUCCUAUAAGCAAUACAAAAUAGAUAGUUGGGCAAACACGGACCCCUGGACACACCAGAGGUGAGAUCAGGUGCCUUGAAGGAGUAGACAUCCCCUGUAUAUCGUAUGAAGUUGAGGAAAGUUACAUGAUGUCAAUUAUUGACUUAAUAAAUAUCCAGGCAUACGCAUAGACAAGUUAUGUUUCAAAUUAUUUCAAACAGUGGGCAGUACAAGGAUGUGCCAUAAUCUUAAAGGAGACCACACCAAGCUAUCUAAAAUGCAAUCCUGAAGAAAAGCAUAGAAACACCUCAUUGCGUAACAUGAGAAAGAAAGGGGUGAUUUAGGAUUGUCAGUCACAGAACUGGCAAAAAUAACAAUGCGGCAUCAUACCUUCUCAAGGACAAGGAGAAGAUCAAUAAAUAAAGUUACAAACAUUCAUAAGAUACAGAAGAAAUUUCUUCAUUUUCAUAAUUUGUAAAUUUCAAUUUUGAAUU
Ostrea edulis (European flat oyster) is the source of this 4888-nucleotide long non-coding RNA. RefSeq lists it as uncharacterized. The record is from RefSeq and is a predicted model, not a curated record. The transcript is spliced from 3 exons. Lineage: Eukaryota; Metazoa; Mollusca; Bivalvia; Ostreida; Ostreidae.